Molecule: ribosomal RNA, 253 nt
Filed under: uncultured bacterium
Lineage: Bacteria
Description: partial 16S ribosomal RNA
Rfam family: Bacterial small subunit ribosomal RNA
Source: RNAcentral
UACAGAGACUGCAAGCGUUAUUCGGAUUCACUGGGCGUAAAGGGUGCGCAGGCGGCCAUGUGGGUGAGGCGUGAAAGCCCGGGGCUUAACCCCGGAAUUGCACCUCAAACUACAUGGCUAGAGCAUUGGAGAGGGUAGCAGAAUUCAUGGUGUAGCAGUGAAAUGCGUAGAUAUCAUGAGGAAUACCAGAGGCGAAGGCGGCUACCUGGACAAUUGCUGACGCUCAGGCACGAAAGCGUGGGGAGCAAAAGGG